This 406-nucleotide ribosomal RNA is filed under the name uncultured bacterium. Its description in RNAcentral is "bacterial SSU rRNA". It matches the Rfam family "Bacterial small subunit ribosomal RNA", at positions 9 to 417 of the family's 1533-position model. The record is from RNAcentral.
GAGUUUGAUCGUGGCUCAGAUUGAACGCUGGCGGCAUGCCUUACACAUGCAAGUCGAACGGCAGCGCGGGAGCAAUCCUGGCGGCGAGUGGCGAACGGGUGAGUAAUACAUCGGAACGUGCCCAAUCGUGGGGGAUAACGCAGCGAAAGCUGUGCUAAUACCGCAUAAGAUCUACGGAUGAAAGCAGGGGAUCGCAAGACCUUGCGCGAAUGGAGCGGCCGAUGGCAGAUUAGGUAGUUGGUGAGGUAAAGGCUCACCAAGCCUUCGAUCUGUAGCUGGUCUGAGAGGACGACCAGCCACACUGGGACUGUGACACGGCCCAGACUCCUACGGGAGGCAGCAGUGGGGAAUUUUGGACAAUGGGCGAAAGCCUGAUCCAGCCAUGCCGCGUGCAGGAUGAAGGCCU